This 20-nucleotide microRNA is filed under the name Heligmosomoides polygyrus. RNAcentral's name for it is "hpo-miR-10158b-3p". Lineage: Eukaryota; Metazoa; Nematoda; Chromadorea; Rhabditida; Heligmosomidae. The record is from miRBase by way of RNAcentral.
GGGACGACGAGAUGGCCAGG